ACUGAACGCUGGCGGUAGGCCUAACACAUGCAAGUCGAACGCGAAAGUCCUUCGGGAUGAGUAGAGUGGCGGACGGGUGAGUAACGCGUAGGAAUCUAUCCUGUAGUGGGGGAUAACGUUUCGAAGGGAACGCUAAUACCGCAUACGCCCCAAGGGGGAAAGCGGGGGAUCUUCGGACCUCGUGCUAUAGGAGGAGCCUGCGUCGGAUUAGCUAGUGGGUGAGGUAAAGGCCCACCAAGGCGACGAUCCGUAGCUGGUCUGAGAGGAUGAUCUGCCACACCGGAACUGAGACACGGUCCGGACUCCUACGGGAGGCAGCAGUGGGGAAUAUUGCGCAAUGGGCGAAAGCCUGACGCAGCCAUACCGCGUGUGUGAAGAAGGCCUUCGGGUUGUAAAGCACUUUCAGUGGGGAGGAAAAGCUGGUGGCUAAUAUCCAUCGGCCGUGACGCUACCCACAGAAGAAGCACCGGCUAAUUCCGUGCCAGCCGCCGCUGUAA
RNAcentral lists this ribosomal RNA (497 nucleotides) under uncultured bacterium. RNAcentral's name for it is "partial 16S ribosomal RNA". It matches the Rfam family "Bacterial small subunit ribosomal RNA", at positions 30 to 523 of the family's 1533-position model. The record is from RNAcentral.